CUGCCUGAGACGUCGACAUAGUGUAAACAACGAGAUGGCCGCUCAACUUAAGAUACGAACGGCAGAACUGAUGGUUCUUCAGAAAGAGAUAGCAGUCAUGAAAGAACUGAUUGAAAAGUAUAGAAAUAAUCUUAAUCGAUUGCAGGUAGAAGAAUUGACCAUUAAAAA
Non-coding RNA from Cherax quadricarinatus, 168 nucleotides. The record is from RefSeq and is a predicted model, not a curated record. Lineage: Eukaryota; Metazoa; Arthropoda; Malacostraca; Decapoda; Parastacidae.